This is a long non-coding RNA of Acipenser ruthenus (sterlet), 1875 nucleotides long. RefSeq lists it as uncharacterized. The transcript is spliced from 2 exons. The record is from RefSeq and is a predicted model, not a curated record. Lineage: Eukaryota; Metazoa; Chordata; Actinopteri; Acipenseriformes; Acipenseridae.
GGGGUCUGGGGUGGGGUGUGUGUGGGACACCCCGAAUAUACAAAGUGCAUAAGCAAACACAGCUGCGUCGGAUUCAGAUAAUUUCUUUUUCCCUUUAUUUUCUGGUGUUUUCUUUCAAGUCUCUGUUUUGCAGCCACAGCCAGCUGGUCUCAAUCCACCUUCAUGAAUCAUACGAUUGGCUGGUGCACCUGUUAAUAUCUAUUACCAAACAGAAACCGGAAUGGAGAACACCAAGACAGUUCUGGUGGGAUCAACUGCUGCACUUGGGCACAGGAAAAGGCACAGUUAAGGGGUGUCCAAUCACAGUCCUGGAGGGCCAUCCCACUCCGGGUUUAACAGAAACGACAUCAUCGAAUCACAGAUGAAAUUGUAAGAUGCACAGGUUCCUUUUUCUGUGAACUGAUUAAAGGCGACAUAAGAACAGCUAUUUGUAACUAUGAUAUUUUAAAUGAUUGCAGUUAAAAUACAGCAUUAAUCCAACACUGAAUAAACUGGAGCGUGUUGUACAUUAUGUUAAUCAAUUAACACUGUGGUUUGGGCAACAUUUUAUGAUAUAUUUGAAGCUAAUGCUGUGUUGUAAACUAAGAUCUCUAGAUUAUAUCUUGCCACUGCUGCAUUAGAAAGCAAAUUAUUUAGUAGAUCUACAACAGCUAAAAUUUUGAUUUAAUUCAGACUAAAAUGUAACCGUGGCAAAAUUAAAUUAGUCCUGACGUGAUUCAAUAUGUGCUCAACUUUGCAUUAUAAUUAGUGCAACUUUUAAAUCUGACAGCAAGAACUACUUAUUAAAAGUAGUUAAAAUACAUUUGAUGGUGACUCAAGUAUCACAAGGAGGAAACUGACCAUUUGGAUGACCAGAUCCAACUUGUCGGUACAUUUUAAACCUGGUUUGUACAACGUAUUGCAAGCAUCAUUAGUAUUUGUGGGACACAUAUGUCUCUUUUACCUUAGGGUUAAAUGUCUAAUUUAUAACCUCCUCCUGAUCUAGACAGAAGCAGUUUCAGGUCAUUUUACCCCACAGAGUGGCAUAGGGGUUGAUUUGAUCCACUUAUUCCCCACAGGGAUAGGUUUGGAACAAACACCUGUGCCAGCUUAUGAUGGGACCUACAUGGGUGUCUCCCUUCUCCUUUUCUUCAGAGGGUGCACAAAAGGCUGAACUUGGAAUUACAUUUCGGGAUAAAGGUGAACAUGGUUGUGUGGCACUUUAAAUAUUAAAUAACAGACAGACGUACACAUUGGAUAAACAGAGUGAGAAAUGGGGAGAUGGGCUCUUUUCUGAUUGUAUUUUGGUCCUUACAAAACAUGCUGCCAUUGUAGACUGCUUACUAUUUAUCCACAAACGUCUAGCCAGCCAAAUUAAACUAGCCGUCUGGCUGGUCUUUAGCCAUCAGUUUCAGCAAAAAGGCCCAGUUGUAACAAUACUGGAACUGUUUGGGCUUUGACCUAUUAAUUGAGUUACCCAUUAACCCACUAACAUCCAUGUUAGUAGUUCUGUAUAGUUACCUGCAGACAUCAUGUUAUGUUUCAAGCCUUAACAUGCAAUAAGAAGCUAAGUUAAGAGGGUACUACAAAUAAUACGCAAGAUGUUUCAAGGGCUUUACACCAUUUUGCAACACGGUAAGGGAAACUGCUACCACACUAGAAACAAUCAAUUGAAAAGCUCCCUGGUUGCUUGGCGUAAAGACCAUGAUAAAUCUGGCAAAUUGUUCUAUUAUUGAUCUGGAGUCCCACCUUCCUCUCACAAAGAAUUUCACUUCAGUACUCAAAACUUCAGAAAAUAUGCUUUACUUCUGUAUUCUUUUUUUUUCUUUUUUUCUUUUUUUUAGUAAAUACCAGACAAGAUAUCUUUUUUCUUUAGAUACAACAGAGCUUGUUUCA